This 440-nucleotide ribosomal RNA is filed under the name uncultured bacterium. RNAcentral's name for it is "partial 16S ribosomal RNA". It matches the Rfam family "Bacterial small subunit ribosomal RNA", at positions 338 to 795 of the family's 1533-position model. The record is from RNAcentral.
CCUACGGGUGACAGCAGUGGGGAAUAUUGCACAAUGGGCGAAACCCUGAUGCAGCGACGCCGCGUGAAGGAAGAAGGACUUCGGUAUGUAAACCUCUAUUAGCAGGGAAGAAAAUGCCGGUACCUGACUAUGAAGCCCCGGCUAACUACGUGCCAGCAGCCGCGGUAAUACGUAGGGGGCAAGCGUUAUCCGGAUUUACUGGGUGUAAAGGGAGCGUAGGCGGUUAUGCAAGUCAGAAGUGAAAGCCCGGGGCUUAACUUCGGGAGUGCUGUUGAAACUGUGUUGCUAGAGUGCAGGAGAGGUAAGUGGAAUUCCUGGUGUAGCGGUGAAAUGCGUAGAUAUUAGGAGGAACACCAGUGGCGAAGGCGGCUUACUGGACUGUAACUGACGCUGAGGCUCGAAAGCGUGGGGAGCAAACAGGAUUAGAUACCCGAGUAGUC